This 297-nucleotide unclassified non-coding RNA is filed under the name uncultured Polyporales. RNAcentral's name for it is "sequence contains 5.8S rRNA gene, ITS2, 28S rRNA gene". The stretch from base 1 to 52 matches the Rfam family "5.8S ribosomal RNA", at positions 103 to 154 of the family's 154-position model. The record is from RNAcentral. Lineage: Eukaryota; Fungi; Basidiomycota; Agaricomycetes; Polyporales.
AACGCACCUUGCGCUCCUUGGUAUUCCGAGGAGCAUGCCUGUUUGAGUGUCAUGAAAUCUUCAACUUGCAACCUCUUUGUGGAGUUUGUAGGCUUGGACUUGGAGGGCUUGUCGGCCUUUAAUGGUCGGCUCCUCUUAAAUGCAUUAGCUUGAUUCCUUGCGGAUCGGCUGUCGGUGUGAUAAAAUGUCUACGCCGUGACCGUGAAGUGUUUGGAUGAGCUUCCAACCGUCUUGCUUCAAAGUCAACUUUUUAUGACCUCUGACCUCAAAUCAGGUAGGACUACCCGCUGAACUUAA